RNAcentral lists this ribosomal RNA (480 nucleotides) under uncultured bacterium. RNAcentral's name for it is "bacterial SSU rRNA". It matches the Rfam family "Bacterial small subunit ribosomal RNA", at positions 62 to 524 of the family's 1533-position model. The record is from RNAcentral.
UCGAGCGGACCGAAGGGAGCUUGCUCCUUUAGGUUUAGCGGCGGACGGGUGAGUAACACGUGGGCAACCUGCCCUGCAGACUGGGAUAACUUCGGGAAACCGGAGCUAAUACCGGAUAACACCGAAAACCGCAUGGUUUUCGGUUGAAAGGCGGCUUUAGCUGUCACUGCAGGAUGGGCCCGCGGCGCAUUAGCUAGUUGGUGAGGUAAUGGCUCACCAAGGCGACGAUCCGUAACUGGUCUGAGAGGAUGAUCAGUCACACUGGAACUGAGACACGGUCCAGACUCCUACGGGAGGCAGCAGUGGGGAAUAUUGGACAAUGGGCGAAAGCCUGAUCCAGCCAUGCCGCGUGUGCGAAGAAGGUCUUCGGAUUGUAAAGCACUUUAAGUUGGGAGGAAGGGCAGUAAAUUAAUACUUUGCUGUUUUGACGUUACCGACAGAAUAAGCACCGGCUAACUCUGUGCCAGCAGCCGCGGUAAU